This 1787-nucleotide ribosomal RNA is filed under the name Lednia tumana. RNAcentral describes it as "bacterial LSU rRNA". It matches the Rfam family "Bacterial large subunit ribosomal RNA", at positions 345 to 2111 of the family's 2925-position model. Lineage: Eukaryota; Metazoa; Arthropoda; Insecta; Plecoptera; Nemouridae. The record is from RNAcentral.
GAAUAGUGCAUCAUAGAGGGUGAUAAUCCCGUAGUCGACAAUCAAACCAGCCUAACUGAAUCCCGAGUAGGCCGGAGCACGUGGAAUUCCGGUUGAAUCAGCGAGGACCAUCUCGUAAGGCUAAAUACUCCUGUAUGACCGAUAGUGAACCAGUACCGCGAGGGAAAGGUGAAAAGAACCCCGGAAGGGGAGUGAAAUAGAACAUGAAACCGUUAGCUUACAAGCAGUGGGAGGACGAUUUAACGUCUGACCGCGUGCCUGUUGAAGCAUGAGCCGGCGAGUUAUAGGCAGUGGCAGGUUAAGACCCUAUGGGUUGAAGCCAAAGCGAAAGCGAGUUUGACAAGAGCGUCAGUGUGAAAGCACAAGUCACUGUUUAUAGACCCGAACCCGGGUGAUCUAACCAUGUCCAGGAUGAAGCUUGGGUAACACCAAGUGGAGGUCCGAACCGACUGAUGUUGAAAAAUCAGCGGAUGAGGUGUGGUUAGGGGUGAAAUGCCAAUCGAACCCGGAGCUAGCUGGUUCUCCCCGAAAUGUGUUGAGGCACAGCGGUCGAGAUUAAGUUUAGGGGUAAAGCACUGUUUCGGUGCGGGCUGCGAGAGCGGUACCAAAUCGAGGCAAACUCUGAAUACUAAACUGGUACUCGGCCAGUCAGACGGUGGGGGAUAAGCUUCAUCGUCAAGAGGGAAACAGCCCAGACCACCAGCUAAGGUCCCAAAAUGACUGCUAAGUGAUAAAGGAGGUGGGAUUGCAGUGACAACCAGGAGGUUUGCCUAGAAGCAGCCACCCUUGAAAGAGUGCGUAAUAGCUCACUGGUCUAGCGAUCCUGCGCCGAAAAUGAACGGGGCUAAGCAGUCUACCGAAGCUGUGGAAUAAAUGAUUUAGGUCAUGUAUUGGUAGGGGAGCGUUCCGCAACGGUGUGAAGCACUAGCGACAAGCAGGUGUGGACUGUGCGGAAGUGAGAAUGUCGGCUUGAGUAGCGCAAAUGUGGGUGAGAAUCCCACACCCCGAAACCCUAAGGGUUCCUCCGCCAGGCUCGUCCGCGGAGGGUGAGUCAGGUCCUAAGGCGAGGCAGAAGUGCGUAGUCGAUGGAUAACGGGUCAAUAUUCCCGUACCUGACAUUGUUGGUGCAGAGGGACGGAGAAGGCAAUCGCCAGCCGGAUGUUGGUUACCGGUUUAAGUAUUCGAGGUGUUGAGAGACGGAGAAAACGUCUUGAGCUGAGGUACGAGUACGACCUCCUACGGGAGGGAAGUGGUAGAUGUCAGGCUUCCAAGAAAAGCUCUAAACACGUUAACGAUAAAUUGCCCGUACCCGAAACCGACACAGGUGGACUGGUAGAGUAUACCAAGGCGCUUGAGAGAACUCGGGUGAAGGAACUCGGCAAAUUGACACCGUAACUUCGGGAUAAGGUGUGCCCUUAUUAGGUGAAGGCGUACAGCCGGAGCUGAGAAGGGUUGCAAAGAAUCGGUGGCUGCGACUGUUUAACAAAAACACAUGGCUUUGCUAAAUCGAAAGAUGACGUAUAAGGCCUGACACCUGCCCGGUGCUGGAAGGUUAAGAGGAGAUGUUAUCUUCGGAGAAGCAUUGAAUUGAAGCCCCAGUAAACGGCGGCCGUAACUAUAACGGUCCUAAGGUAGCGAAAUUCCUUGUCGGGUAAGUUCCGACCUGCACGAAUGGUGUAAUGAUCUGGGCACUGUCUCAGCCACGAGCUCGGUGAAAUUGAAGCAUCGGUGAAGAUACCGAUUACCCGCACUGGGACGGAAAGACCCCGUGAACCUUUACUAUAGCU